This 161-nucleotide unclassified non-coding RNA is filed under the name soil metagenome. RNAcentral's name for it is "partial internal transcribed spacer 1". The record is from RNAcentral.
CAGGACUCGCAAGACUCCUAUCACCCUGUGAACUCACCUAUAAUCCCGUUGCUUCGGCGAGUGUCUCGGGGAGGGUCUCCCCUCCCCGGGGCGCCACGCUCGCCGGCAGCCACUAAACUCUGUAUCUUUGCGUUGGCAUCUCGAGAAAAACAAACAAGUUA